UUGUAGCUCAGUGGUGGAGUGCUUGCCUAGCAUGUAUGAGGCUCUGGGUUUGAUUCUCAGCAA
This 63-nucleotide transfer RNA is filed under the name Ictidomys tridecemlineatus (thirteen-lined ground squirrel). RNAcentral describes it as "Spermophilus tridecemlineatus (thirteen-lined ground squirrel) tRNA". It matches the Rfam family "tRNA", at positions 5 to 66 of the family's 71-position model. Rfam says of the family: Transfer RNA (tRNA) molecules are approximately 80 nucleotides in length. Their secondary structure includes four short double-helical elements and three loops (D, anti-codon, and T loops). The record is from Rfam by way of RNAcentral. Lineage: Eukaryota; Metazoa; Chordata; Mammalia; Rodentia; Sciuridae.